CCACUGCUGAAGAGUCCCAUGAUAGGAUGAAACGGCCGUCUAGUGC
RNAcentral lists this non-coding RNA (46 nucleotides) under Schistosoma mansoni. The record is from RNAcentral. Lineage: Eukaryota; Metazoa; Platyhelminthes; Trematoda; Strigeidida; Schistosomatidae.